This 419-nucleotide ribosomal RNA is filed under the name uncultured bacterium. RNAcentral's name for it is "bacterial SSU rRNA". It matches the Rfam family "Bacterial small subunit ribosomal RNA", at positions 355 to 774 of the family's 1533-position model. The record is from RNAcentral.
UGAGGAAUAUUGCACAAUGGGCGCAAGCCUGAUGCAGCGACGCCGCGUGGGGGAUGAAGGGGCUACGCCUCGUAAACCACUGUAGCCCGGGACGAAAAACGCCUUAGAGGCGUUAGACGGUACCGGGAAAGUAAGGGUCGGCUAACUACGUGCCAGCAGCCGCGGUAAUACGUAGGACCCAAUCGUUGUCCGGAUUUACUGGGGGUAAAGGGUGCGCAGGCGGAUGGGUAAGUCAGGGGUGAAAGUCUGCAGCUUAACUGUAGAAUUGCCUUUGAUACUGCUCAUCUUGAGUGUGGGAGAGNUUGAUGGAAUUCCAGGUGUAGCAGUGCAAUGCGUAGAUAUCUGGAAGAACACCAGUGGCGAAGGCGGUUAACUGGCCCAUAACUGACGCUCAUGCACGAAAGCGUGGGGAGCAAACA